GACGAACGCUGGCGGCGUGCUUAACACAUGCAAGUCGAGCGGAAAGGCCCUUUCGGGGGUACUCGAGCGGCGAACGGGUGAGUAACACGUGAGUAAUCUGCCUCGUACUUUGGGAUAGCUUCGGGAAACCGAAAUUAAUACCGGAUAUGACUCCAUGGCGCAUGUUGUGGGGUGGAAAGUUUUUUCGGUACGGGAUGUGCUCGCGGCCUAUCAGCUUGAUGGUGGGGUAAUGGCCUACCAUGGCUUUGACGGGUAGCCGGCCUGAGAGGGUGACCGGCCACACUGGGACUGAGACACGGCCCAGACUCCUACGGGAGGCAGCAGUGGGGAAUAUUGGACAAUGGGCGGAAGCCUGAUCCAGCAACGCCGCGUGAGGGAUGACGGC
RNAcentral lists this ribosomal RNA (385 nucleotides) under uncultured bacterium. Its description in RNAcentral is "bacterial SSU rRNA". It matches the Rfam family "Bacterial small subunit ribosomal RNA", at positions 28 to 415 of the family's 1533-position model. The record is from RNAcentral.